UUACAAAGCAGUUUACAAAUAUUAAGCUCCACCUACUUUCCACCCCUUAUUUACAUGGCUGAAGUAAUCUCACACAUCCCCCCAGUUAAUUAUAAAUACUUAUAAAGCUCUGUAAAUGUAUAUGGCACUUUACAGACAUAGAAAAAGACAUGGUCCCUACCCCAAAGAAUGUACAGUAGGAUGCCUACAAGACUAAACACAGAGCAGUAGUUCAGGAGGUGGAAAGAAGGAGAUGGAAGAGUACAGAAAGUCACUAGCAAUUUGUAGGAAAGGUCAGUGUCACCUUCUGCCGGCUGCAUGAGGCAGCCGAUUCCCUAUCUACACAUCCCAUCACUGGGGCAUGCAGCCACUAAAAAAAUCCAUGACCAAAGGACAUACAGGCCUUGGCUUGAAGUCAAACUGGCCUUACAGAGGAACACAUUACAUCAGGUGACUGUUUUAAAGAUGCCUGACCUGGAGUUUCCCAUGCUUCUGCAGCUCCCACUGAUGUGAAUGGGGGUUGUGUGUGCUUAACAUCUUUAAAAAUCAGACCAGGGAAUAGGAUCAGCUCUGCCCCGAGUCCUGUCUUCAGAUGAAGACGGUUGAGAGGAACUCAGGGGGGUGCGGGACGCGUGCGCUCUGGCAGACUCUAACAAGACAACAGCUGAGCAUAUGUGUCCUGACCAGGCACUGCUACUGAAGAUCUCCGAUCAACGGCGCUGGGACGUACCAUCACCUGGAGUGGAGCACCUACCAGGACAGCACUCGAAGAAGAAUAAAAAUUUCACGUUAAAGGAGUUUUGUUGCAUGAUUUUACCCACAUUUUUGCAACAUUAAGGAUUGAGGUUUUGCAUGCCCCUGCAUUUACAUGGAUGUAUAUUGAGAGAUGGGGCUUGUUUUUUUUAAUUCCUCUUAUAGCUGUAGAAAUAGGACAAGAAUUAUUUGAAGAGGAAAAGGAAGUUAUCUUAAUAUAGCUACCACAAACAAGCAGAGGUAAUCUGGAAAGUCUAGAAAACUUUAUAUACCUACAUGCCCACGUUGAGUCCUUGUAAAACCAAACCACAAUAGUUACAGGUUUGCCAGAAUGAAAACAUAGCUGUUCACGUCACUAUGAUUUUUACUGAAUAAGCCAACCGUGAAAAGAAAAACUCCACCAGAAUGCUGGCAUAGUAAACUUUUAAACACUUAAUAAUGAAUCUAAGUAACAGACAUGAUUUUAUAUGGGUCUUGGUUUGUUUCUCUGGCCAGAACCACCAAAAAAAGCACAAAAACUGGAAAAAAGAUCAGAAGAGAAUGACCACUGCUUUUACCACCUUCAGAAUGAAACAUAGGCCCUGAACAACCACAAGAAAGAAACACCCCCACCACCUAGACCACACCUCUUCCUUGUGGAUAGCAUACUGUUGGGCUGAUAGCUUGCAUUUUAGAGAGUCAAGAUGGAUGAGGUGAUAUCUUUUAUUGGACCAACUUCUGUUGGUGAGAAAGACAAGAUUUUGGGCUAAACAGAGCUCUUCAGGUCUGGGAAAGGUACAAGAGUGACACAGCUAAAUACAAGAUCAAGCAGAUAGUUUAGCAUAAGUAGUUAGCACAUAUUCUAAGAGGCAAUUCAAGGUAAAGUGGCCUGUAAAUACCCCUGUAGUCAUAGGACAAUAAGUGGGCUUUAGUGGGUUACAUAAUUUUAUAAUAUAAAUAUAAUAUAAUAAUAAUAAU
Molecule: non-coding RNA, 1689 nt
Organism: Chrysemys picta bellii (western painted turtle)
Lineage: Eukaryota; Metazoa; Chordata; Testudines; Emydidae
Source: RefSeq, a predicted model, not a curated record